AAGCCCCCCGACGCCACCGGUGCCCGCGAGAGCGGGCUAAGAGGGAAUCCGGACGCCAAGCUGUUCUUGGCAAACCCGGAGCUGCCCCCGCAACUGUGCCCGGAUAGCGCCCUGUCCACUAUGCCACUGGGCCCGCAAGGGUCUGGGAAGGCGGGCAGGGGGCCACGACCCCGGGCGAGCCAGGAAACCUGCCGGUGUGUGGUCGUUCCG
Molecule: non-coding RNA, 210 nt
Filed under: Novosphingobium sp.
Lineage: Bacteria; Pseudomonadati; Pseudomonadota; Alphaproteobacteria; Sphingomonadales; Sphingomonadaceae
Source: RNAcentral